This 422-nucleotide ribosomal RNA is filed under the name uncultured bacterium. Its description in RNAcentral is "bacterial SSU rRNA". It matches the Rfam family "Bacterial small subunit ribosomal RNA", at positions 355 to 774 of the family's 1533-position model. The record is from RNAcentral.
UAAGGAAUAUUGGACAAUGGACGCAAGUCUGAUCCAGCCAUGCCGCGUGAAGGAUGAAUGCCCUCUGGGUUGUAAACUUCUUUUAUAGGGGAAGAAAGAUACUUUUUUUAAGGUAGUUGACGGUACCCUAUGAAUAAGCACCGGCUAACUCCGUGCCAGCAGCCGCGGUAAUACGGAGGGUGCAAGCGUUAUCCGGAUUUACUGGGUUUAAAGGGUGCGUAGGCGGGCAUGUAAGUCAGUAGUGAAAUACCGGAGCUUAACUUCGGAACUGCCAUUGAUACUAUAUGUCUUGAAUAUUGUGGAGGUAAGCGGAAUAUGUCAUGUAGCGGUGAAAUGCAUAGAUAUGACAUAGAACACCGAUUGCGGAGGCAGCUUGCUACGCAAAUAUUGACGCUGAGGCACGAAAGCGUGGGGAUCAAACA